Molecule: ribosomal RNA, 399 nt
Filed under: uncultured bacterium
Lineage: Bacteria
Description: bacterial SSU rRNA
Rfam family: Bacterial small subunit ribosomal RNA
Source: RNAcentral
CUGGCGGGGCCCCUUAACACAUGCAAGUCGAACGGUUUUGAGUGCUUGCACUCAAGAUAGUGGCGAACGGGUGAGUAAUGCCUAGGAAUCUGCCGAUUAAUGGGGGACAACAUUCCGAAAGGGAUGCUAAUACCGCAUACGCCCUACGGGGGAAAGCAGGGGACUCUUUGGAGCCUUGCGUUAAUUGAUGAGCCUAGGUCAGAUUAGCUAGUUGGUGGGGUAAAGGCCUACCAAGGCGACGAUCUGUAGCGGGUCUGAGAGGAUGAUCCGCCACACUGGAACUGAGACACGGUCCAGACUCCUACGGGAGGCAGCAGUGGGGAAUAUUGGACAAUGGGCGCAAGCCUGAUCCAGCCAUGCCGCGUGUGUGAAGAAGGCCUUUUGGUUGUAAAGCACUUU